GAUGAACGCUGGCGGCGUGCCUAAUACAUGCAAGUCGAGCGAACAGACGAGGAGCUUGCUCCUCUGACGUUAGGGGCGGACGGGUGAGUAACACGUGGAUAACCUACCUAUAAGACUGGGAUAACUUCGGGAAACCGGAGCUAAUACCGGAUAAUAUAUUGAACCUCAUGGUUCAAUAGUGAAAGACGGUUUUGCUGUCACUUAUAGAGGGAUCCGCGCCGCAUUAGCAAGUUGGUAAGGUAACGGCUUACCAAGGCAACGAUGGGUAGCCGACCGGAGAGGGUGGAUCGGCCCCCUGGAACUGAGGCCCGGUCCAGCCUCCUUCGGGGGGCCGCCGUAGGGAAUUCUUCGGCAUGGGGGAAAGCCGUACGGGGCCAAGCCGCGGGGAGGAUUAAGGGCUUCGGAUGCUAAAACUCUUGUAUUAGGGAAGAACAAAAGUGUAAGUAAAUAUGCACGGCUUUACCGUACCUUAUCCGAAAGCCCAGGCUAACUACGUG
RNAcentral lists this ribosomal RNA (497 nucleotides) under uncultured bacterium. Its description in RNAcentral is "partial 16S ribosomal RNA". It matches the Rfam family "Bacterial small subunit ribosomal RNA", at positions 28 to 507 of the family's 1533-position model. The record is from RNAcentral.